UGAGGAAUCUUCCACAAUGGACGAAAGUCUGAUGGAGCAACGCCGCGUGAAGGAUGACAGUUUUCGGAUUGUAAACUUCUUUUAAAUGGGAAGAUUAUGACGGUACCAUUUGAAUAAGCAUCGGCUAACUACGUGCCAGCAGCCGCGGUAAUACGUAGGAUGCAAGCGUUAUCCGGAAUUACUGGGCGUAAAGAGUGUGUAGGUGGUAGUUUAAGUCAGGUGUUAAAUCUCUGGGCUCAACCCAGAAUCUGCAUCUGAUACUAGAUUGCUAGAGACAAGAAGAGGUAAGCGGAAUUUGUGGUGUAGCAGUUAAAUGCGUAGAUAUCACAAGGAACACCAAUGGCGAAGGCAGCUUACUGGUCUUGUUCUGACACUGAGACACGAAAGCGUGGGGAGCGAAAG
Molecule: ribosomal RNA, 402 nt
Filed under: uncultured bacterium
Lineage: Bacteria
Description: partial 16S ribosomal RNA
Rfam family: Bacterial small subunit ribosomal RNA
Source: RNAcentral